GUCCUGUUGAUUAUAAUAUUAGGUUUGACCUGCCCUAUGAAAUAUUUAUUUAAAUGGCCGCAGUAUAUUGACUGUGCAAAGGUAGCAUAAUCAUUAGUUUUUUAAUUGAAAGCUUGUAUGAAAGGUUUGAUAAGAAAGUAUCUGUCUCAGUAAAAAUUUAUUUGAAUUUUAUUUUUAAGUGAAAAAGCUUAAAUGUGUAUAGAAGACGAGAAGACCCUGUAGAGUUUAAUAUUUAUAAUUUGAGUGUAAUUAUUAUAGUGUUGAAAUUUUAUUUUAUUGUAAGUAUUUCGUUGGGGUGACAAAAAAAUUGGUUAAACUUUUUUUUAAUUUAAACAUUGAUUUAUGAACUAAUGAUCCUAAAGGUUUUUGGAUUGGAAGAAUAAAUUACCUCAGGGAUAACAGCGUAAUUUUUUUGAAAGUUCUUAUUGAAAAGGAAGAUUGCGACCUCGAUGUUGGAUUAAAAUUUAUUGUUGGUGAAGAAGCUGACAAAUUAGGUCUGUUCGACCUUUAAAAUUUUACAUGAUCUGAGUUUAAACCGGUGUGAGCCAGGUCGGUU
This 556-nucleotide ribosomal RNA is filed under the name Trigonopterus monticola. RNAcentral's name for it is "partial large subunit ribosomal RNA". It matches the Rfam family "Archaeal large subunit ribosomal RNA", at positions 1921 to 2705 of the family's 2987-position model. The record is from RNAcentral. Lineage: Eukaryota; Metazoa; Arthropoda; Insecta; Coleoptera; Curculionidae.